UAUUAGAUGAGCCUAAGUCGGAUUAGCUAGAUGGUGGGGUGAAGGCCUACCAUGGCGACGAUCUGUAGCUGGUCUGAGAGGAUGAUCAGCCACACCCGGGACUGAGACACGGCCCGGACUCCUACGGGAGGCAGCAGUGGGGAAUAUUGGACAAUGGGGGCAACCCUGAUCCAGCCAUGCCGCGUGUGUGAAGAAGGCCUUUUGGUCGUAAAGCACUUUAAGCAGUGAAGAAGACUCCGUGGUUAAUACCCACGGACGAUGACAUUAGCUGCAGAAUAAGCACCGGCUAACUCUGUGCCAGCAGCCGCGGUAAUACAGAGGGUGCAAGCGUUAAUCGGAAUUACUGGGCGUAAAGCGAGCGUAGGUGGCUUGAUAAGUCAGAUGUGAAAUCCCCGGGCUUAACCUGGGAACUGCAUCUGAUACUGUUAAGCUAGAGUAGGUGAGAGGGAAGUAGAAUUUCAGGUGUAGCGGUGAAAUGCGUAGAGAUCUGAAGGAAUACCGAUGGCGAAGGCAGCUUCCUGGCAUCAUACUGACACUGAGGCUCGAAAGCGUGGGUAGCAAACAGGAUUAGAUACCCUGGUAGUCCACGCCGUAAACGAUGUCUACUAGUCGUUGGGUCCCUUGAGGACUUAGUGACGCAGCUAACGCAAUAAGUAGACCGCCUGGGGAGUACGGCCGCAAGGUUAAAACUCAAAUGAAUUGACGGGGGCCCGCACAAGCGGUGGAGCAUGUGGUUUAAUUCGAUGCAACGCGAAGAACCUUACCUGGUCUUGACAUAUCUAGAAUCCUGCAGAGAUGCGGGAGUGCCUUCGGGAAUUAGAAUACAGGUGCUGCAUGGCUGUCGUCAGCUCGUGUCGUGAGAUGUUGGGUUAAGUCCCGCAACGAGCGCAACCCUUGUCCUUAGUUACCAGCGGGUUAAGCCGGGAACUCUAAGGAUACUGCCAGUGACAAACUGGAGGAAGGCGGGGACGACGUCAAGUCAUCAUGGCCCUUACGACCAGGGCUACACACGUGCUACAAUGGUAGGUACAGAGGGCAGCUACACAGCGAUGUGAUGCGAAUCUCAAAAAGCCUAUCGUAGUCCAGAUUGGAGUCUGCAACUCGACUCCAUGAAGUAGGAAUCGCUAGAAUCGCGAUCAGA
RNAcentral lists this ribosomal RNA (1141 nucleotides) under uncultured bacterium. RNAcentral's name for it is "bacterial SSU rRNA". It matches the Rfam family "Bacterial small subunit ribosomal RNA", at positions 219 to 1353 of the family's 1533-position model. The record is from RNAcentral.